RNAcentral lists this ribosomal RNA (473 nucleotides) under Pseudomonas sp. RNAcentral describes it as "bacterial SSU rRNA". It matches the Rfam family "Bacterial small subunit ribosomal RNA", at positions 57 to 526 of the family's 1533-position model. The record is from RNAcentral. Lineage: Bacteria; Pseudomonadati; Pseudomonadota; Gammaproteobacteria; Pseudomonadales; Pseudomonadaceae.
GCAGUCGAGCGGUAGAGAGAAGCUUGCUUCUCUUGAGAGCGGCGGACGGGUGAGUAAUGCCUAGGAAUCUGCCUGGUAGUGGGGGAUAACGUCCGGAAACGGACGCUAAUACCGCAUACGUCCUACGGGAGAAAGCAGGGGACCUUCGGGCCUUGCGCUAUCAGAUGAGCCUAGGUCGGAUUAGCUAGUUGGUGAGGUAAUGGCUCACCAAGGCGACGAUCCGUAACUGGUCUGAGAGGAUGAUCAGUCACACUGGAACUGAGACGCGGUCCAGACUCCUACGGGAGGCAGCAGUGGGGAAUAUUGGACAAUGGGCGAAAGCCUGAUCCAGCCAUGCCGCGUGUGUGAAGAAGGUCUUCGGAUUGUAAAGCACUUUAAGUUGGGAGGAAGGGCAUUAACCUAAUACGUUAGUGUUUUGACGUUACCGACAGAAUAAGCACCGGCUAACUCUGUGCCAGCAGCCGCGGUAAUAC